This 253-nucleotide ribosomal RNA is filed under the name uncultured bacterium. Its description in RNAcentral is "partial 16S ribosomal RNA". It matches the Rfam family "Bacterial small subunit ribosomal RNA", at positions 524 to 776 of the family's 1533-position model. The record is from RNAcentral.
UACGUAGGGGGCUAGCGUUGUUCGGAAUUACUGGGCGUAAAGGGCGCGUAGGCGGUUCUUCAAGUCAGGCGUGAAAGCCCCGGGCUCAACCUGGGAACCGCGCUUGAGACUGGAGAACUAGAGUUCGGUAGGGGAGACUGGAAUUCCUGGUGUAGCGGUGAAAUGCGCAGAUAUCAGGAGGAAUACCAGCGGCGAAGGCGGCGCUCUGGGCCGGUACUGACGCUGAGGAGCGAAAGCGUGGGGAGCAAACAGG